GAUGAACGCUGGCGGCGUGCCUAAUACAUGCAAGUCGAGCGAAUGGAUUAAGAGCUUGCUCUUAUGAAGUUAGCGGCGGACGGGUGAGUAACACGUGGGUAACCUGCCCAUAAGACUGGGAUAACUCCGGGAAACCGGGGCUAAUACCGGAUAACAUUUUGAACCGCAUGGUUCGAAAUUGAAAGGCGGCUACGGCUGUUACUUAUGGAUGGCCCCGCGUCGCAUUAGCUAGUUGGUGAGGUAACGGAUCACCAAGGCAACGAUGCGUAGCCGACCUGGGAGGGUGAUCGGCCACACUGGGACUGAGACACGGCCCAGACUCCUACGGGAGGCAGCAGUAGGGAAUCUUCCGCAAUGGACGAAAGUCUGACGGAGCAACGCCGCGUGAGUGAUGAAGGCUUUCGGGUCGUAAAACUCUGUUGUUAGGGAAGAACAAGUGCUAGUUGAAUAAGCUGGCACCUUGACGGUACCUAACCAGAAAGCCACGACUAACUACGUGCCAGCCGCCGCGGUAA
Molecule: ribosomal RNA, 515 nt
Filed under: uncultured bacterium
Lineage: Bacteria
Description: partial 16S ribosomal RNA
Rfam family: Bacterial small subunit ribosomal RNA
Source: RNAcentral